This 3685-nucleotide long non-coding RNA is filed under the name Gallus gallus (chicken). The record is from RNAcentral. Lineage: Eukaryota; Metazoa; Chordata; Aves; Galliformes; Phasianidae.
GGGAGAGGCGUCCCCGACAGCAAAUGUCCCCGCUCAAGGUUGUUGUCGGAAGGUGUCUGGCUGUCUGGCUCGGGAUUUGCAUAGGUACGGGCCGUGCAAACAGCAGCUCGGAGGGAGGGGUGGGGGCAGGCAGCAGACGGGACAUCGCCCCCAGCUCCUUUAUUUCAAGCCUAAUUCGCGGUGGGUGCGGGCAGGUUUGGAACUGGGCUGAGCUGGAGAUGCUCUCUCCAGGCCAGAGAGAUCGCGGUGCAGCUCGGGUUGGAAUCCAUCGCCUAAAGCGGCACCGUUCUCCUCCCCCCUACCCCCCCCCAUCCCCUCCACCCCAUGAAUUGCGUGGGGUUAUUGUCUUAUUUGAGGGCACCAGGCUCUUCCUAACACCUUGUGCUCUCUUCCAAGCUCGCUGGUGUGCAACCGGAGCGGCCAGACAAUAGGAUUUGCAGACACAACUUGGAGCUUGCAACUAUAGUUAUCUAUGCUAAUUACAGGGUGUCUGACAGAAACAUAAUAAAUGUAAAGGGAGAAGUAUAGAAAUAUGUUUCUCCAGGCGGUGUACAGUUCGCCUCUCUGGGUUCAGGCUUGUUUUCUCGCUCUUCUUUUCAUUUUCUUCGCUGGGAAUUUUUUUUCCCCUUCCCUUGACCCGCAUUGCAUAUCACACCCAAAACCGAGCUAACCUGGAAUGCCUCAGUGUGAGGCUUCGCUGCUGCUCGGGAACAUCUGCAGAGAUGGCUUCGUCUGGGGGAGACCUGAAAUUUGGGGGGGAAAAAUAAAGGGCACCAUGGCACACUUAAAGAAAUUGUUCAGAGCUUUAAUUGCACCUCGGAAUUUAUUGUCUAUUACCCGUACCUCCAACACUGGAGAGACAGGAAUUCUUAGCAACAGACAGAAGGGGGGGGGGGGUUGGGAGGGGGGGGUGGCGGGGGGAAGCACUUAAGCAGGUAAAAAACUCCUGCAGUGGGAUUUUAAGCGAGAGCUGAAUGUCUGCGUCUCCCACAUUGGGUCGGAUUGAGGUUUUCGCGUCGAUGUGUGGCGAUAGGAGCGCGAGUUCCUCCGCUCUGUUGUCGGCCCGAAGAGCUUUUCCUCUGUGAGAUCUCGGGAGAAUCGCUCAAAGCGAAAGCAAAAGGUUUGGAAGGGAGAGGAGAGGGAUGCACUGCGCUGAGCACACAGCACUGUCCGGGAGCGGGCGGACAUGGGAAGGAGCAUUCAGCCCCGAAAAGGUGUCAGAAGUCAAUGGCUCAGACAAAGGCUUCGUCUUCUGUAACCUCCUCAUUUGCCACGAGAGACUACUUCUUAAUCUAUUUUUUUUUUUCCUUCACCGGGGAAUAAAAUAAAAUGAAGUAUAAGAUAGGAUUCCUACGGCUCGUGGGCUGCUAGCGUUAGUUUUGCUCCGUGCCACCAAGUUCCUUCCCCCUGCAGAUUGAAAAGAGGAGGUGAGAGGCAAAGCUGUGAGUCUGCCUGGAAAGGGACCCGGUGGUUCACCAUCAUUUCGAGAAGAGAUCAUCUCCCCUCCAAGAGGGCAACCGGAGCUUUUGCGGAGCACAAACGCUGCGAGAUAACCUUGCAGGAGCUGAAGGCGAUGGCAAAGCGUGCUGUAAUUGCGGUGCGGAUCUUUGCUCGUGCUUCUGCCAGGAGGAAUGCUCGGGAUCCCGCUGCUCUGAGCGGACUUUGAUUCGCGUAACUUUGCGCGCAGCCACCAGGGAUGGCUUCGGGUCGAGAGGAGCGCGGACAGAGAGUGUUUUGCGGGGGGUUCGCGUCGUGGUUUGGGAUUCCGCAGCGCAGAGGGGGGAGAGGACGCUGCGUUAACCCGCGUCUGUAGUUUGCUGUAAGGUGAAGAGUCUCCAUCUCCGCCUCGCACUGCUCGGUGCACUCCCCGAAUGGAAGGGGUUUGUACGGCAAUCGCGAUCGUUUCCCUCGUGUGUGUGCGGGUGUGAGUGUGCGCGGAGCCCACGGCGACGCGGGGAGCGAAGCGCUCCGUGCAAUGGAGGUUCCCGUGUAAAUAAAAGAAAUCUUCAGCAGAUAUGUUCGCCUUUGUGUGCCACCACCAAAACGCCCCAUCCACGACUCAUUCCGUGACCUUGCCUGCUCGCAUGAAGGCUCCAAAAACUGCUGCUCCUCAUUAGGGCUGCGCUGCUUGGGUAAUUUCUGCUCGUUUUGCGGUUCGUCUGUGGUGUAUUCUGACAUAUUUCUCCCCUGGAAAACGUCCCCACUGACUCUCAGUGCUCCUCUCCCCCCAUGCUCAGCCCUUUCUCUCUCCUUCUCCCUCUGCCUCUUUCUCUUCCCCUCUCUCCCCUUCUGCACAUACACACAACCCUUCUUUGUAGGGAUUCUCCCAGAUAUUCCACCGGUUUGGGAAAGCCAAGCUGCUUUCACGUCACUCCCUGCAUCUCAGCACCUUCGCACCGUAACUAUUUCUUAAAAUGGGAAUAGAUCAAAGAGUGACGAGCACAGAUAUAUGCGUAUAUAGAUACGUAUUUCUUUUCUUGCGAACAUAAAAGUAACCGUCAUUGGAGAGCUGUGAUUGACAGAUAAAUUGGUCUCGAUAAAGGCCAAAGAAGACAGUCUGCUCCUGCAGGAAUAUUUCCCUUUAAGGGCUCCCAUAAAGCAGGGGGCUCAGAACGGAACGGGGGAUAAAUUCUGCGGCUGAGCGAGUGGAUGACUUUCCUCGUCGAAUUUGGCAAACCACGAAUCCCUCCCCAAACAUCCCUCCCGUCGGGGUUUUGUUUCCAAGCCUUCCCUGUGUUCUCCGAGGGGGAAACCCCACUUCCAGGGGCUGCGCGGUGCAGUGAAGGGCAGCGUUUAGUGUUGGCUCAGCUGAGGCUCGUGACUUUGGGGGGGUCCGGGAGGACUUUCCUGGCAGCCCCACUCCCCGCCUGUCUGUCUCCGGAUCUGUUGGAUUCACUCACGCUCCAAUCUCCCCCUCCGACUUGCUGAGAAAAGGAAAGAGCGAGAAAUGGAAUGCGGUUCUGUCCCGGGGGUGCGUGGGAUCCGCGCCGGGGGAACGCCGCGCACUGGGGACACUCUGCCCUCCCGGUGCCUUUCUGCCCCUGGGGGAAGGGAUGGGGAGGUGGGGGGGGGCUCCACCGCUCUCUGAGCCCCCACUUUUUCUUCCUCUUGCAAACGUUGCCCGUUUCCCUCUCUCUCCCCACCGCGUCACCCCAGCCCUAUAAAACCCGUGGUGAUGAAUAGCCCUGAGGAGCCCGGACAAUCAGGCUUAUGAUUUUGUGUGUGCGUGUUGUUUGGGUUCUUAAAAAAAAUAAAAAUAAAAAAGAAAGAAAGAAAAAAAGAAAAGAAAAAGAAAAGAAAAAUGAAGGAAGAAAGAAAAAGAGAAGGGUCCUUUUUUUUUUUUUUUUUUGUGGAUAUAUUUCCUUUCUCUUUCUUUCUUUGCAGAGAAAUCGCCCAACUCCAUUCUUUCAGCCCCCAAUGGGCGUGAGCCACGUACCUACCUGUCUAUCCUUACAAAGGAAAGCUUAUCCUCCCAACACGCAGUCAGGGCAUCCCCGAGUUGUUUGGUUGUUUGUUUUUUUUUAACCUCUCCCAACUCUCUCCCAUCGAUUUGGUGAGAAAAGAGAAAAGGGAAAAGAAAAGUUGCGCGUGAAAAAAAAGCAGCAAAAAAGGGGAAAAAGGAAGCAAAAAUAUCCCCCCGAAAGAACAACCCAACAACGACACCGCACGCAGAAAUGAAACCCGG